UAAUGUUAUAGCUCUUUUAGAAUUUGUCUAGCAGGCUUUCUGGUUUUUGCAGGAAAGUCCCC
Small nuclear RNA from Macaca fascicularis (crab-eating macaque), 62 nucleotides. Its record names the gene U7. It matches the Rfam family "U7 small nuclear RNA". From Rfam's summary of the family: Animal histone pre-mRNAs are spliced by a different mechanism than nuclear pre-mRNAs and self-splicing introns. This processing involves the U7 snRNP, which contains only one RNA species: U7. The 5' end of U7 RNA is thought to base-pair to a conserved spacer element downstream of the cleavage site in histone pre-mRNA. The record is from Ensembl. Lineage: Eukaryota; Metazoa; Chordata; Mammalia; Primates; Cercopithecidae.